Molecule: ribosomal RNA, 461 nt
Filed under: uncultured bacterium
Lineage: Bacteria
Description: partial 16S ribosomal RNA
Rfam family: Bacterial small subunit ribosomal RNA
Source: RNAcentral
CCUACGGGUGACAGCAGUGAGGAAUAUUGGUCAAUGGGCGGAAGCCUGAACCAGCCAAGUCGCGUGAGGGAUUAAGGCCCUGCGGGUCGUAAACCUCUUUUGCCGGGGAGCAGAGGUCCGGACGUGUCCGGGCCGGGGGAGUACCCGGAGAAAAAGCCUCGGCUAACUCCGUGCCAGCAGCCACGGUAAUACGGAGGAUGCGAGCGUUAGCCGGAUUUAUUGGGUUUAAAGGGUGCGUAGGCGGCCUUUUAAGUCAGCGGUGAAAGUCUGUGGCUCAACCAUAGAAUUGCCGUUGAAACUGGGGGGCUUGAGUAUGUUUGAGGCAGGCGGAAUGCGUGGUGUAGCGGUGAAAUGCUUAGAUAUCACGCAGAACCCCGAUUGCGAAGACAGCCUGCCAAGCCAUGACUGACGCUGAUGCACGAAAGCGUGGGGAUCAAACAGGAUUAGAUACCCCGGUAGUC